UGGCGACCGGCGCACGGGUGCGUAACGCGUAUGCAACCUACCUUUAACAGGGGGAUAACACUGAGAAAUUGGUACUAAUACCCCAUAAUAUCAUAGAAGGCAUCUUUUAUGGUUGAAAAUUCCGAUGGUUAGAGAUGGGCAUGCGUUGUAUUAGCUAGUUGGUGGGGUAACGGCUCACCAAGGCGACGAUACAUAGGGGGACUGAGAGGUUAACCCCCCACACUGGUACUGAGACACGGUCCAA
RNAcentral lists this ribosomal RNA (244 nucleotides) under uncultured bacterium. Its description in RNAcentral is "partial 16S ribosomal RNA". It matches the Rfam family "Bacterial small subunit ribosomal RNA", at positions 89 to 334 of the family's 1533-position model. The record is from RNAcentral.